This 301-nucleotide ribosomal RNA is filed under the name uncultured bacterium. Its description in RNAcentral is "partial 16S ribosomal RNA". It matches the Rfam family "Bacterial small subunit ribosomal RNA", at positions 509 to 809 of the family's 1533-position model. The record is from RNAcentral.
CAGCAGCCGCGGGAAUACGGAGGGUGCAAGCGUUAAUCGGAAUUACUGGGCGUAAAGCGCACGCAGGCGGUCUGUCAAGUCAGAUGUGAAAUCCCCGGGCUUAACCUGGGAACUGCAUUUGAAACUGGCAGGCUAGAGUCUUGUAGAGGGGGGUAGAAUUCCAGGUGUAGCGGUGAAAUGCGUAGAGAUCUGGAGGAAUACCGGUGGCGAAGGCGGCCCCCUGGACAAAGACUGACGCUCAGGUGCGAAAGCGUGGGGAGCAAACAGGAUUAGAUACCCCGGUAGUCCCUGUCUCUUAUAA